UGUGCAGCUGGAAGGAUUUUUGCUCUUUUUUUUUUUUUUUUACUUUCAGACAGUUGUUAUGAUGCGUAACCUUGGCAACAAUGUGGUUUCGUUGUUACAACCAGGAGCAGCUGAUUAGCAUCUCAAAAGCUCAACAAAUACUUGAACUACAACCCCAAACCUGAGAGGAGUUAAAAAAGGAGGCUUCAUCGGUGCAGAGCAGGACCAAAGAGCAGAGAGAAAAAGGAGGAAGUUCAAACCAUCUCUUCCCGGGUUUCUAAUCAUACAGCCAAACAGAGAUUAAAGAGGAGCGGCAAAAGCAAAUGACGUGGAUUAGCUGAGCUUGCCAACAACUGAUGGUGUCAUCCCGGACAUCUUACUGUGGGAUAUCUUCUCUGCUGCCUGUAAAGUGUGAUAUUACAUCAUCAUCCAUUGCAACUUUUUGAAGAUAAUUGGAGGAUAUGAGUUACAAAUUAUCCAAAUAAGGUGACCAGUGUGAGGAAUCCGAGGCUGCAAAAGGGAGGAUGGAGAUUAUGCAUUACAGAGGGUGGCCAACUUCAGUCUAGCACAACAAGACACGGUUAUGUUAUGAUGACAUCACUUCUUUUGCUACAGUGGUGCACGAAAAAAAUAAUAAAAACCGCCUCAUUUGCUGUGGUUUUUUAAAUUUUUAUCUCUAUUAUUAUUAAACAUCCUGAUUUAGCCACUGAUCUGUUGCGGGAGGACCAGGGAUGGGUGUGUGAGUGAGUGUGUGUGUGUGUGUGUGUGUGUGUGUGUGCUUGGGCAUUCGAGUCACAUUCAGAAAGUAAAGCCGUGGCAGGCUGAUCACUCUCUCGUUCGCAUAGUGCUUAAAGCCGUUUAUGUAACGCCUGGUGUUCUGUUGCCAGUCAAGUCAGUCAGACUCGGCUCUCUGGCUCCGAAGAACACAAAGUAACUACUCGCUGUGCAACAUGGAAGUCCUCCCUGCCUUUCGUCGCUCGGCACAGAUAACACGGAUAAUGUGGUCGUUUAAUACUCGCUGAGAGCCUCACGGUGCUCUGCCUCCACCGUCUGCACCGCACUGACUCUACCAACAGUACAGCAGAGGGAUGACGCCAUUUCUGUAGCUGACAGUCGGACAGAAAGGAGGAACACCAGAGCUAAAAAAAAAUUGCUGGGACCGUACACGCAAUUUUCAGCUAGCAAAUGCUUAAACACAAUUUCCCCCUCCGACACAAAUCUCUUUUGUCUUUUUUUAACUGUUCAUUUUCGCUCUCUCUCUCUCCCUCUCUCGUCUCGCUGCUUGCUCUCUGCAGAGUACACGCGACAGCAAAAAAAUAAAUAAAUAAAAAAUUGAGCGAUAAUAACUCCGUGAAACACAGUCACAAACCCUUUAUAUAAACAUGUCACGUCGUUAAACCGCAACACAGCGACAGCGUUGAGUUAAACAAAGUGAGAGGCAUGUGAAAACUCACUUUGCUCGCUCUGAAAAUGUUUUCUUUAUCGACAGCUCCGACAUUUCGCUGACUGUUUUUUUGAUUGAGCUGACAAAGAAACAAGUCGACGGAGCGGUUUGCAGCAAGGUCAAGCCCGAGGAAG
Non-coding RNA from Poecilia reticulata (guppy), 1557 nucleotides. NCBI's taxonomy places the organism in Eukaryota, Metazoa, Chordata, Actinopteri, Cyprinodontiformes, Poeciliidae. The record is from RefSeq and is a predicted model, not a curated record.